UUCUAGUAUUAUUUGACAGAGUAAAAAAGUUGUUUGUUGUAAAAAUGUAUCUUUUGUUACUAAUUAGUGUUGUGUUAUUGUUAAACUUCAUACCCAGAACUUUCUCUCAAGGUUUAGGAGAAACAAGAAGCAUACAAAUUCCAAUUUUCUACUCAUUAGAUGAUGUUUUAUCAUGUUUCAAGACAGAAGAGUACGUAAACUCUUCGCUAUCACAGAAAGUCUUGUAUUCCUUUGAAUAUGGCUGCAAAAACAAUAUUCCUCUGACAAGAACUCGAGAGAACCCGUUUAUUGCGAUUGAAGGAAACCACAAAACCAGUAGGUAGAAAGAUAAUAGCAAGAAGAGUAGCCAAACGAAUAGGAGCCGGGAUUUUACACAAUCCACCCAGAUGUUUGUUCCAUCUCAAAGACAUGUUUCAAUAUGGAACCCGCAUCAGAAAAGCGUUUUUCUACCUAUCUAUGUACGGCUCGGCCUACACAGCCAAUCGAAUCAUCAACAGGUGGCCAGUAGUGAUAAAUGGUUACUGGAUGGACCAGGCCGCUUACGCUAUUUCAAAAGCAAAUUCCAACGCCACCCUCCCACCAUCUGGAGAUCCGGUGUACAAGUUUCCGGAAGACUUACUGAAACCAGAUCUAGUUUUCUACACCUACUUCCCAGACAACCUUCAUUAUCCACAAGCCACUACAAGAAAUCCUAACAGCUGGAAACCUAAAAUGCUUGAGAUUUACAAAAGAAUCCAAGAUCCUAAGGUGAUAAUCAUAAACACAGAAAUUGGUUUUGAUUCAGUUGUGAACCUGAUUGAAAGUGAAAUAUAUAAUAAUUUAAAAGACAAAUAUAUGUUUGAAACUGAGCCUGUCUGAGGAUUGGUUACUAUAAACAUAUUUUUAUAUUUCAACCUUCAUCUUGAAUUGUGUAAGUUAAAAUUGAAGAUAUAACAGGAGUAAAUUGAAUUAAGACUGACAGUAAGA
Molecule: RNA transcript, 966 nt
Organism: Macrosteles quadrilineatus (aster leafhopper)
Lineage: Eukaryota; Metazoa; Arthropoda; Insecta; Hemiptera; Cicadellidae
Gene name: UMP-CMP kinase 2, mitochondrial-like
Exons: 6
Source: RefSeq, a predicted model, not a curated record